GCACGACCGGAAAACGAUGAAGGGUCCC
Molecule: small RNA, 28 nt
Filed under: Bombyx mori (domestic silkworm)
Lineage: Eukaryota; Metazoa; Arthropoda; Insecta; Lepidoptera; Bombycidae
Description: ovarian small RNA-2727
Source: RNAcentral